GACGAACGCUGGCGGCGUGCUUAACACAUGCAAGUCGAACGGAAAGGCCCUGCUUUUGUGGGGUGCUCGAGUGGCGAACGGGUGAGUAACACGUGAGUAACCUGCCCUUGACUUUGGGAUAACUUCAGGAAACUGGGGCUAAUACCGGAUAGGAGCUCCUGCUGCAUGGUGGGGGUUGGAAAGUUUCGGCGGUUGGGGAUGGACUCGCGGCUUAUCAGCUUGCUGGUGGGGUAGUGGCUUACCAAGGCUUUGACGGGUAGCCGGCCUGAGAGGGUGACCGGCCACAUUGGGACUGCGGUACGGCCCAGACUCCUACGGGAGGCAGCAGGGGGGAAUAUUGCACAAUGGGCGGAAGCCUGAUGCAGCAACGCCGCGUGCGGGAUGACGGCCUUCGGGUUGUAAACCGCUUUCGCCUGUGACGAAGCGUGAGUGACGGUAAUGGGUAAAGAAGCACCGGCUAACUACGUG
Molecule: ribosomal RNA, 468 nt
Filed under: uncultured bacterium
Lineage: Bacteria
Description: partial 16S ribosomal RNA
Rfam family: Bacterial small subunit ribosomal RNA
Source: RNAcentral